UCCAGAUGCUGCAUUUCGGACUCUGAGGACUCCUCGGACUCGCCCUCGCCCUCGCCCUGCUCCUCGUCUCCGUCUGCGUCCGACUCCUGAGAGCGGCGAAUGAGCUGCUGCAGCAGAACUGCCUCCUGUUGACAGCCAUGUGAAUGAAGCCUGCCUAGAUCUUCUAGUAUCAGCUAAUUUGCCAACUGACCCGAGCUUCGUGAGGCAACACAAGAGAAAUCAACUGAGAUGACUCAGACCAAAAGAACUUCCCAGGCACCUCAAAGAGACACGAGCUGGAUAAACGAAUGUUUUAAGCCAUUAAGAUCUGGGAGGAUCUGAAAGGCAGCAGAAGCUCCACAUGUAGUAUCUGGAUUUCUUGCAGUCUUGCUACACUGGCAGAGUGGACAGUGAGAGAGAGAGAGAAAAGUCCUCAUCCUCCAAUGGCCGCCGUGGCUGGUGCACCACGCUGAUCCGAAGCCAGGAGCCAAGUGCCUCUCCCGGUCUCCCAUGCGGGUGCAAGGCUCAAGGACUUGGGCCAUCCUCCACUGCCUUCCUGGGCCACAGCAGAGAUCUGGACUGGAAGAGGAGCGACCAGGACAGAAUCCGGCACCCCGAUUGGGACCAGAACCCGGGGUGCUGGAGCCACAGGCGGAGGAUUAGCCUAUUGAGCCGCGGCGCCAGCCGGGACUUUGAUCUUUUAGGAUUUCAACAUUUAAAAUUAUGAUGUUUGGGAUUGUGAAGCAAAGCCUAGGAUAUUUUUGAUUUUAUCCCCUUCCUAGAUCUAUGGUUUGCAAGUAUUUUCCCCCAUUCCAUGGAAUUUUACUCUGUUUAUUGUGAUCUUUGAUUGAUGCAUACAAGAUUUUUUAUUCUGAUGUCAUCUAAUUUAUCUAUUUUUACAUUUGUUGCCUGUGCCUUUGCUAUCACAGUCAGGAAAUCAUUGCCAAAUCUAGUGUCAUGGAGCUUUUCCUUUUUUUUUUUUUUCAGCCUCAAUGAAAUAUAUUUGAAAAAGAAAUUAUAUAUAGUUGACUGUAACAUGAUGUUUUCAUGCAAGUAUACAUUGUGAAAUGGUCAUCACAGUCAAGCCAAUCUACUUACUUAUCACCUCAAAUAGUCCCCCCCUUCUUUCAGUGUAUAGUGUGAGCAGUUAAGAUCUAUCCUCUUAGCAAAUGUCAACAUGCAAUAUUGUUAGCUAUAGCCAUCAUGCUAUAAGUUAGGCCUCCAAAACUUACUCAUGUAGCCUUUGACCGAUGUCUCCCCAUUUCCCCUCUUCCAAGUCCCUGGCAGCCACCAUUCUGCUCUCUCCUGCUAUGAGUUUGGCUUGUUUUUGGAUUCUACAUAUAAAUGAGAUUACGUGCUAUUUAUCUUUUGAUGCCUGGUUCAUUUGACUUGACAUAGUGUCUUCCAGUUUCAUCUAUCUUGUUGUAAAUGGAAGUGCUUCCUUCUUUUUCAAGGCUGACAGAGAGAUACAAAUACAGAGAUGUAUGUAUAUAUCACGUUUUCUUUAUCCAUUCAACUGUCAGUGGGCAUUUUGGUUGCAUCCAAAUUUUGGCUAUUAUAAAUGAUGCUGCAGUGAACAUGGGAAUACAAGUAUCUCUACGAAAAUCUUGAUUUCAUUUCCUUUGGAUAUAAAGCCAGAGGUGGGAUUACUGGGUCAUAUGGUAGUUUUCAUCUUUUUUGAGGAAGCUGUAUACUAUUUCCAUAAUGGUUAUACCAGUGUACAUUUUAGUAAGCGUGUACAGGGUUCCCUUUCCUCCACAUCCCCACUAACACUUUUUUUCUGCAGAUGAUCCAUGAUGUUGAAUUCACCUGUUGCCAUUUGUAUGUCUUCUUUGGAAAAUGUUUGGGUUUUGCUCAGUUUGAAUUGGUUGUUUCUUU
Non-coding RNA from Oryctolagus cuniculus (rabbit), 1857 nucleotides. NCBI's taxonomy places the organism in Eukaryota, Metazoa, Chordata, Mammalia, Lagomorpha, Leporidae. The record is from RefSeq and is a predicted model, not a curated record.